GACGAACGCUGGCGGCGUGCUUAACACAUGCAAGUCGAACGAAGAGCGAUGGAAGCUUGCUUCUAUCAAUCUUAGUGGCGAACGGGUGAGUAACGCGUAAUCAACCUGCCCUUCAGAGGGGGACAACAGUUGGAAACGACUGCUAAUACCGCAUACGAUCUAAUCUCGGCAUCGAGGAUAGAUGAAAGGUGGCCUCUACAUGUAAGCUAUCACUGAAGGAUGGGAUUGCGUCUGAUUAGCUAGUUGGAGGGGUAACGGCCCACCAAGGCGAUGAUCAGUAGCCGGUCUGAGAGGAUGAACGGCCACAUUGGGACUGAGACACGGCCCAGACUCCUACGGGAGGCAGCAGUGGGGAAUCUUCCGCAAUGGACGGAAGUCUGACGGAGCAACGCCGCGUGAGGGAUGACGGCCUUCGGGUUGUAAAGCUCUGUUAAUCGGGAAGAAAGGCCUUCUUGCGAAUAGUGAGAAGGAUUGACGGUACCGGAAUAGAAAGCCACGGCUAACUACGUG
RNAcentral lists this ribosomal RNA (510 nucleotides) under uncultured bacterium. RNAcentral describes it as "partial 16S ribosomal RNA". It matches the Rfam family "Bacterial small subunit ribosomal RNA", at positions 28 to 507 of the family's 1533-position model. The record is from RNAcentral.